Molecule: ribosomal RNA, 340 nt
Filed under: uncultured bacterium
Lineage: Bacteria
Description: bacterial SSU rRNA
Rfam family: Bacterial small subunit ribosomal RNA
Source: RNAcentral
GAUGAACGCUGGCGGCGUGCUUAACACAUGCAAGUCGAACGGAGAGCUAUUGACGGAGUUUUCGGACAACAGAUAUAGUUUCUUAGUGGCGAACGGGUGAGUAACGCGUAGGCAACCUGCCCUUUAGUUGGGGACAACAUCCCGAAAGGGGUGCUAAUACCGAAUGUGAUCGCUUCCUCGCAUGAGAGAGCGAUGAAAGAUGGCCUCUAUUUAUAAGCUAUCGCUAAAGGAUGGGCCUGCGUCUGAUUAGCUAGUUGGUGGGGUAACGGCCUACCAAGGCGAUGAUCAGUAGCCGGUCUGAGAGGAUGAACGGCCACAUUGGGACUGAGACACGGCCCAG